RNAcentral lists this ribosomal RNA (930 nucleotides) under Microidium phyllanthi. RNAcentral describes it as "eukaryotic LSU rRNA". It matches the Rfam family "Eukaryotic large subunit ribosomal RNA", at positions 1 to 943 of the family's 3401-position model. The record is from RNAcentral. Lineage: Eukaryota; Fungi; Ascomycota; Leotiomycetes; Helotiales; Erysiphaceae.
UUGACCUCGAAUCAGGCAGGAAUACCCGCUGAACUUAAGCAUAUCAAUAAGCGGAGGAAAAGAAACCAACCGGGAUUACCUCAGUAACGGCGAGUGAAGCGGCAAGCUCAAAUUUGAAAUCUGGCUCCUUUGGAGCCCGAGUUGUAAUUUGUAGAAGACGCUUUGGGUUGUGGGCUUGGCCUAAGUUCCUUGGAACAGGACGUCAUAGAGGGUGAGAAUCCCGUAUGUGGUCGAGACCCUACGCCUAUGUAAAGCUCUUUCGACGAGUCGAGUUGUUUGGGAAUGCAGCUCAAAAUGGGUGGUAAAUUUCAUCUAAAGCUAAAUAUUGGCCAGAGACCGAUAGCGCACAAGUAGAGUGAUCGAAAGAUGAAAAGCACUUUGGAAAGAGAGUUAAAUAGUACGUGAAAUUGUUGAAAGGGAAGCGCUUGCACCCAGACUUGGGCGUUGUUGAUCAUCCGAGGUUCUGCCUCGGUGCACUCGACAAUGUGCAGGCCAGCAUCGGUUUGACUGGCUGGACAAAGGUCCUAGGAACGUAACUCCUCGCGGGGAGUGUUAUAGCCUAGGGCGUCAUGCAGCCCAGUCGGACCGAGGACCGCGCCUUUUGGGCUAGGAUGCUGGCGUAAUGGGUGUAAGCGACCCGUCUUGAAACACGGACCAAGGAGUCUAACAUCUAUGCGAGUGUUUGGGCGUUAAACCCAUACGCGGAAUGAAAGUGAACGUAGGUGAGAACCCGUUUAGGGUGCAUCAUCGACCGAUCCUGAUGUCUUCGGAUGGAUUUGAGUAAGAGCAUAGCUGUUGGGACCCGAAAGAUGGUGAACUAUGCCUGAAUAGGGUGAAGCCAGAGGAAACUCUGGUGGAGGCUCGCAGCGGUUCUGACGUGCAAAUCGAUCGUCAAAUUUGGGUAUAGGGGCGAAAGACUAAUCGAACCAU